RNAcentral lists this ribosomal RNA (426 nucleotides) under uncultured bacterium. RNAcentral describes it as "bacterial SSU rRNA". It matches the Rfam family "Bacterial small subunit ribosomal RNA", at positions 354 to 797 of the family's 1533-position model. The record is from RNAcentral.
GUGGGGAAUAUUGCACAAUGGGCGGAAGCCUGAUGCAGCGACGCCGCGUGAGUGAAGAAGUAUCUCGGUAUGUAAAGCUCUAUCAGCAGGGAAGAAAAUGACGGUACCUGACUAAGAAGCCCCGGCUAACUACGUGCCAGCAGCCGCGGUAAUACGUAGGGGGCAAGCGUUAUCCGGAUUUACUGGGUGUAAAGGGAGCGUAGACGGCGACGCAAGUCUGGAGUGAAAGCCCGGGGCCCAACCCCGGGACUGCUUUGGAAACUGUGCUGCUGGAGUGCAGGAGAGGUAAGUGGAAUUCCUAGUGUAGCGGUGAAAUGCGUAGAUAUUAGGAGGAACACCAGUGGCGAAGGCGGCUUACUGGACUGUAACUGACGUUGAGGCUCGAAAGCGUGGGGAGCAAACAGGAUUAGAAACCCGAGUAGUCCC